AAAGACUUAGUCCUAACCUUACCGUUAGUUUUUGCCAAACAUAUACAUGCAAGUAUCCGCAUCCCAGUGAAAAUGCCCUCUAACCCUUAAUAAGCCACCAGGAGCAGGUAUCAGGCUCACCCACCGUAGCCCAAGACACCUUGCCUAGCCACACCCCCACGGGUACUCAGCAGUAAUUAACAUUAAGCAAUAAGCGUAAGCUUGACUUAGUUAAAGCAAUCUUUAAGGGUUGGUAAAUCUUGUGCCAGCCACCGCGGUCAUACAAGAAACCCAAAUUAACCAUACUCGGCGUAAAGAGUGGUCCUCCAUUAUCACCCACACUAAGAUUAAGACCUGUCCAAGCUGUUACAAGCAUAAGACACACUUAACACCCCCUAUUAAAAUGAUCUUAGAAAGGCGACCUAUCAAACCCACGAAAGCCAGGAUACAAACUGGGAUUAGAUACCCCACUAUGCCUAGCCCUAAAUCUUGAUGCUUCCCCUACCCAAAUCAUCCGCCCGAGAACUACGAGCACAAACGCUUAAAACUCUAAGGACUUGGCGGUACUCCAAACCCACCUAGAGGAGCCUGUUCUAUAAUCGAUAAUCCACGAUACACCUCACCAUCUCUCGCCAAACCAGCCUAUAUACCGCCGUCCCCAGCUCACCCUCAAAUUGAAGGCCCAGCAGUGAGCGCAAUAGCCACUCAGCUAACAAGACAGGUCAAGGUAUAGCCUAUGAGAUGGAAGAAAUGGGCUACAUUUUCUAGAAUAGAAUAUCACACGGCAAGGACUGUGAAACCACUCCUAAAAGGCGGAUUUAGCAGUAAAGCAGGACAAUCAUGCCUCCUUUAAGUCGGCCCUGGAGUACGUACAUACCGCCCGUCACCCUCCUCACAAGCUACAACCUCACGUACCUAAACCACCACCCAGCUAAAGAUGAGGUAAGUCGUAACAAGGUAAGUGUACCGGAAGGUGCACUUAGUUUAC
Molecule: non-coding RNA, 967 nt
Filed under: Mionectes oleagineus (ochre-bellied flycatcher)
Lineage: Eukaryota; Metazoa; Chordata; Aves; Passeriformes; Tyrannidae
Description: 12S ribosomal RNA
Rfam family: Bacterial small subunit ribosomal RNA
Source: RNAcentral